GACGAACGCUGGCGGCGUGCUUAACACAUGCAAGUCGAACGGUAAGGCCCUUCGGGGUACACGAGUGGCGAACGGGUGAGUAACAUGUGGGUGAUCUGCCCUGCACUUCGGGAUAAGCCUGGGAAACUGGGUCUAAUACCGGAUAGGACUCCGGACUGCAUGGUCUGGGGUGGAAAGCUUUUGCGGUGUGGGAUGGGCCCGCGGCCUAUCAGCUUGUUGGUGGGGGGAUGGCCUACCAAGGCGACGACGGGUAGCCGGCCUGAGAGGGUGACCGGCCACACUGGGACUGAGAUACGGCCCAGACUCCUACGGGAGGCAGCAGUGGGGAAUAUUGCACAAUGGGCGCAAGCCUGAUGCAGCGACGCCGCGUGAGGGAUGACGGCCUUCGGGUUGUAAACCUCUUUCAGCACCGACGAAGCGCAAGUGACGGUAGGUGCAGAAGAGGGACCGGCCAACUACGUGCCAGCCGCCGCCGUAA
This 478-nucleotide ribosomal RNA is filed under the name uncultured bacterium. RNAcentral describes it as "partial 16S ribosomal RNA". It matches the Rfam family "Bacterial small subunit ribosomal RNA", at positions 28 to 523 of the family's 1533-position model. The record is from RNAcentral.